RNAcentral lists this ribosomal RNA (448 nucleotides) under uncultured bacterium. Its description in RNAcentral is "bacterial SSU rRNA". It matches the Rfam family "Bacterial small subunit ribosomal RNA", at positions 335 to 799 of the family's 1533-position model. The record is from RNAcentral.
ACUCCUACGGGAGGCAGCAGUGGGGAAUCUUGCGCAAUGGGCGAAAGCCUGACGCAGCCAUGCCGCGUGAAUGAUGAAGGUCUUAGGAUUGUAAAAUUCUUUCACCGGGGACGAUAAUGACGGUACCCGGAGAAGAAGCCCCGGCUAACUUCGUGCCAGCAGCCGCGGUAAUACGAAGGGGGCUAGCGUUGCUCGGAAUUACUGGGCGUAAAGGGAGCGUAGGCGGACAUUUAAGUCAGGGGUGAAAUCCCGGGGCUCAACCUCGGAAUUGCCUUUGAUACUGGAUGUCUUGAGUGUGAGAGAGGUAUGUGGAACUCCGAGUGUAGAGGUGAAAUUCGUAGAUAUUCGGAAGAACACCAGUGGCGAAGGCGACAUACUGGCUCAUUACUGACGCUGAGGCUCGAAAGCGUGGGAGCAAACAGGAUUAGAUACCCGUGGUAGGAUAGCG